Molecule: ribosomal RNA, 423 nt
Filed under: Pseudomonas lutea
Lineage: Bacteria; Pseudomonadati; Pseudomonadota; Gammaproteobacteria; Pseudomonadales; Pseudomonadaceae
Description: partial 16S rRNA
Source: RNAcentral
GCCCUUCCUCCCAACUUAAAGUGCUUUACAAUCCGAAGACCUUCUUCACACACGCGGCAUGGCUGGAUCAGGCUUUCGCCCAUUGUCCAAUAUUCCCCACUGCUGCCUCCCGUAGGAGUCUGGACCGUGUCUCAGUUCCAGUGUGACUGAUCAUCCUCUCAGACCAGUUACGGAUCGUCGCCUUGGUGAGCCAUUACCUCACCAACUAGCUAAUCCGACCUAGGCUCAUCUGAUAGCGCAAGGCCCGAAGGUCCCCUGCUUUCUCCCGUAGGACGUAUGCGGUAUUAGCGUCCCUUUCGAGACGUUGUCCCCCACUACCAGGCAGAUUCCUAGGCAUUACUCACCCGUCCGCCGCUGAAUCAGGGAGCAAGCUCCCUUCAUCCGCUCGACUUGCAUGUGUUAGGCCUGCCGCCAGCGUUCAAU